CGUCAGAUAGCUCAGUGGUCUAGAGCAGUCGCCCGGCAACCGAAAGACCCGGGUUCGAUUCCCGGUCUAGCGA
RNAcentral lists this transfer RNA (73 nucleotides) under Harpegnathos saltator (Jerdon's jumping ant). It matches the Rfam family "tRNA". From Rfam's summary of the family: Transfer RNA (tRNA) molecules are approximately 80 nucleotides in length. Their secondary structure includes four short double-helical elements and three loops (D, anti-codon, and T loops). Further hydrogen bonds mediate the characteristic L-shaped molecular structure. tRNAs have two regions of fundamental functional importance: the anti-codon, which is responsible for specific mRNA codon recognition, and the 3' end, to which the tRNAs corresponding amino acid is attached (by aminoacyl-tRNA synthetases). tRNAs cope with the degeneracy of the genetic code in two manners: having more than one tRNA (with a specific anti-codon) for a particular amino acid; and 'wobble' base-pairing, i.e. permitting non-standard base-pairing at the 3rd anti-codon position. The record is from Rfam by way of RNAcentral. Lineage: Eukaryota; Metazoa; Arthropoda; Insecta; Hymenoptera; Formicidae.